Molecule: ribosomal RNA, 253 nt
Filed under: uncultured bacterium
Lineage: Bacteria
Description: partial 16S ribosomal RNA
Rfam family: Bacterial small subunit ribosomal RNA
Source: RNAcentral
UACAGAGGGUGCGAGCGUUAAUCGGAAUUACUGGGCGUAAAGCGUGCGUAGACGGUUAUUUAAGUCGGAUGUGAAAGCCCCCGGCUCAACCGGGGAGGGUCAUUGGAAACUGGGGAACUUGAGUGUAGAAGAGGAAAGUGGAAUUCCACGUGUAGCGGUGAAAUGCGUAGAGAUGUGGAGGAACACCAGUGGCGAAGGCGACUUUCUGGUCUAUAACUGACACUGAGGCGCGAAAGCGUGGGGAGCAAACAGG